UACGAAGGGGGGCUAGCGUUGUUCGGAAUUACUGGGCGUAAAGGGCGCGUAGGCUGUGCUGUAAGUCAGGCGUGAAAGCCCCGGGCUCAACCUGGGAAUUGCGCUUGAUACUGCGGCGCUGGAAGGUGGGAGAGGAUGGCGGAAUUCCCAGUGUAGAGGUGAAAUUCGUAGAUAUUGGGAAGAACACCGGUGGCGAAGGCGGCUACCUGGACAGAGUCUGACGCUGAGGCACGAAAGCUAGGGGAGCAAACAGG
Molecule: ribosomal RNA, 254 nt
Filed under: uncultured bacterium
Lineage: Bacteria
Description: partial 16S ribosomal RNA
Rfam family: Bacterial small subunit ribosomal RNA
Source: RNAcentral